CUGGCCUUCUCUUCUGCUCUCUAAGUCGUAAGAACGGAGAGAAAGAAGUACUCACUAAGCACUUUCACUCAUGAUUUAGGGCGAUUUAGAGUUGGAUUUUGAAUAUGCUGAAGUGGAAGAAAAGAUAGACGAAGGCAUUAUUUCAUCACUUUUUGGAGUCAUUUAGAGCUUCAGGAGUACGAUUUGCCUAGCGAAGUGAACUACGAAGUUGAAGAUCAAGGUAAAAUAAUUCAUCUUAGUAGCAAACAAGGAGGAGAUGACGUGAUUGAAGAAAUUGUGUAUCCAUCUUCGCUGUCCCUUGUGAGGUGAUGACCACAUACAUGCAAGUGCUAUUUUCAUACUUUUGAUAGCAGAAAGAAAAAUCCGUGUGUAAUAUUGAUGUUCAUGUGAUAAUAGGUCGACUCCGUUCAUAUAUUACUGGUGACGGAUAUUUAUUCGAACUAUUUGGACGCUUAAUUGCAUUCGCAAGCACAUCCAUAUUGGAGCUAAGGUAUAAAAUGACGCCGUAAUGUUGUUAAUAUUUUUUAUAUUGAUGUACUGUUGUGAAUAAUAUGCAUGCCGCUGCAAAUAUUAUUAUUUGUAAAUAAAUGAUUGCUAUCGUAUGAUAUGAAAAAAUUAUAUAAAGCCGGAAGAAAUUAAAUGUUUUACUCAUAUGAUAUUAAAAUGUUAUUAUCAUACUAUUAUGUUUAGUGGUUGUUUGUCAUAACGAGUAAUUACCAUCGGUUUUGUCAUAACUUGUUGUAAGAAAAUUAGUUUUUACUAAUAAUCGUUUUUCCAAAAGCUCAGUUUUUGCA
Molecule: long non-coding RNA, 794 nt
Organism: Aegilops tauschii subsp. strangulata
Lineage: Eukaryota; Viridiplantae; Streptophyta; Magnoliopsida; Poales; Poaceae
Source: RefSeq, a predicted model, not a curated record